GACGAACGCUGGCGGCGUGCCUAACACAUGCAAGUCGAGCGAGUGAAUCUCCUUCGGGAGUGAAGCUAGCGGCGGACGGGUGAGUAACACGUGGGCAACCUGCCUCGUAGAGGGGAAUAGCCUUUCGAAAGGAAGCUGAAUACCGCAUAAGAUUGUAGCUUCGCAUGAAGUAGCAAUUAAAGGAACAAUCCGCUAUGAGAUGGGCCCGCGGCGCAUUCGCUAGUUGGUGAGGUAACGGCUCACCAAGGCGACGAUGCGUAGCCGACCUGAGAGGGUGAUCGGCCACAUUGGGACUGAGACACGGCCCAGACUCCUACGGGAGGCAGCAGUGGGGAAUAUUGCACAAUGGGGGAAACCCUGAUGCAGCAACGCCGCGUGAGUGAUGACGGCCUUCGAGUUGUAAAGCUCUGUCUUCAGGGACGAUAAUGACGGUACCUGAGGAGGAAGCCACGGCUAACUACGUGCCAGCCGCCGCUGUAA
This 480-nucleotide ribosomal RNA is filed under the name uncultured bacterium. RNAcentral describes it as "partial 16S ribosomal RNA". It matches the Rfam family "Bacterial small subunit ribosomal RNA", at positions 28 to 523 of the family's 1533-position model. The record is from RNAcentral.